UGCCAGCCGCCGCGGUAACACGGGGGGCGCAAGCGUUAUUCGGAAUUAUUGGGCGUAAAGGGCGCGCAGGCGGUCUUGUCCGUCAGGUGUGAAAGCUCGGGGCUCAACCCCGGAAGUGCUUCUCAUACUGCCAAGCUAGAGGAUGGGAGAGGAAGACGGAAUUCCCGGUGUAGCGGUGAAAUGCGUAGAGAUCGGGAGGAACACCAGUGGCGAAGGCGGUUUUCUGGACCAUUACUGACGCUGAGGCGCGAAAGCGUGGGGAGCGAACAGGAUUAGAUA
Molecule: ribosomal RNA, 279 nt
Filed under: uncultured bacterium
Lineage: Bacteria
Description: partial 16S ribosomal RNA
Rfam family: Bacterial small subunit ribosomal RNA
Source: RNAcentral